Molecule: ribosomal RNA, 468 nt
Filed under: uncultured bacterium
Lineage: Bacteria
Description: bacterial SSU rRNA
Rfam family: Bacterial small subunit ribosomal RNA
Source: RNAcentral
GCCCAGACUCCUACGGGAGGCAGCAGUGAGGAAUAUUGGUCAAUGGGCGAGAGUCUGAACCAGCCAAGUAGCGUGAAGGAUGACUGCCCUACGGGUUGUAAACUUCUUUUAUAUGGGAAUAAAAUGUUCCACGUGUGGGAUUUUGUAUGUACCAUAUGAAUAAGGAUCGGCUAACUCCGUGCCAGCAGCCGCGGUAAUACGGAGGAUGCGAGCGUUAUCCGGAUUUAUUGGGUUUAAAGGGUGCGCAGGCGGAAUGUCAAGUCAGCGGUAAAAUUUCGGGGCUCAACCCCGUCGUGCCGUUGAAACUGGCGUUCUUGAGUGAGCGAGAAGUAUGCGGAAUGCGUGGUGUAGCGGUGAAAUGCAUAGAUAUCACGCAGAACUCCGAUUGCGAAGGCAGCAUACCGGCGCUCAACUGACGCUCAUGCACGAAAGCGUGGGUAUCGAACAGGAUUAGAUACCCCCGUAACA